GAUUUGUGCUUAUAGAUACAGCCUGUCCCAAAAAGAUGUACUCACUCUUUGACUUCCCAGUACUCAUGCAUUUUGUGUUCAAGUAGAUGUUUAUUGAUAUACAUACAAUCCCAAAAAGUUAAAUUAAAUUCAGGAAAAUAAAUUGUUGUAGAAACGAUUAUUUAUUGUCAUUUAGAAUAAUUUAAUGUUCUU
Molecule: long non-coding RNA, 192 nt
Organism: Octopus sinensis (East Asian common octopus)
Lineage: Eukaryota; Metazoa; Mollusca; Cephalopoda; Octopoda; Octopodidae
Exons: 3
Source: RefSeq, a predicted model, not a curated record